GACGAACGCUGGCGGCGUGCUUAACACAUGCAAGUCGAACGAUGAACCCUCACUUGUGGGGGGGAUUAGUGGCGAACGGGUGAGUAACACGUGAGUAACCUGCCCAUAACUCUGGGAUAAGCUUGGGAAACUGGGUCUAAUACUGGAUAUUGACUUUUCCUCGCAUGGGGUUUGGUUGAAAGCUUUAGUGGUUUUGGAUGGACUCGCGGCCUAUCAGCUUGUUGGUGAGGUAAUGGCUCACCAAGGCGACGACGGGUAGCCGGCCUGAGAGGGUGACCGGCCACACUGGGACUGAGACACGGCCCAGACUCCUACGGGAGGCAGCAGUGGGGAAUAUUGCACAAUGGGCGAAAGCCUGAUGCAGCGACGCCGCGUGAGGGAUGACGGCCUUCGGGUUGUAAACCUCUUUCAGUAGGGAACAAGGCUACACGUUGUGUGGUUGAGGGUACUUGCAGAAGAAGCACCGGCUAACUACGUGCCAGCAGCCGCGGUAAUACGUAGGGUGCAAGCGUUAUCCGGAAUUAUUGGGCGUAAAGAGCUCGUAGGCGGUUUGUCGCGUCUGCCGUGAAAGUCCGGGGCUCAACCCCGGAUCUGCGGUGGGUACGGGCAGACUAGAGUGAUGUAGGGGAGACUGGAAUUCCUGGUGUAGCGGUGAAAUGCGCAGAUAUCAGGAGGAACACCGAUGGCGAAGGCAGGUCUCUGGGCAUUAACUGACGCUGAGGAGCGAAAGCAUGGGGGAGCGAACAGG
This 748-nucleotide ribosomal RNA is filed under the name uncultured Micrococcaceae bacterium. RNAcentral's name for it is "bacterial SSU rRNA". It matches the Rfam family "Bacterial small subunit ribosomal RNA", at positions 28 to 776 of the family's 1533-position model. The record is from RNAcentral. Lineage: Bacteria; Bacillati; Actinomycetota; Actinomycetes; Micrococcales; Micrococcaceae.